RNAcentral lists this ribosomal RNA (252 nucleotides) under uncultured bacterium. RNAcentral's name for it is "partial 16S ribosomal RNA". It matches the Rfam family "Bacterial small subunit ribosomal RNA", at positions 81 to 334 of the family's 1533-position model. The record is from RNAcentral.
UACUUUGGUGGCGACCGGCGCACGGGUGCGUAACGCGUAUGCAACCUACCUUUAACAGGGGCAUAACACUGAGAAAUUGGUACUAAUUCCCCAUAACAUUCGAGAAGGCAUCUUCUUGGGUUAAAAACUCCGGUGGUUAAAGAUGGGCAUGCGUUGUAUUAGCUAGUUGGUGAGGUAACGGCUCACCAAGGCAACGAUACAUAGGGGGGCUGAGAGGUUAACCCCCCACAUUGGUACUGAGACACGGACCAA